Molecule: long non-coding RNA, 318 nt
Organism: Anopheles coluzzii
Lineage: Eukaryota; Metazoa; Arthropoda; Insecta; Diptera; Culicidae
Exons: 2
Source: RefSeq, a predicted model, not a curated record
GUGAGCACAAUCGCCGCCGUCCUGGUUCGCACAGCAACGGCACUGCCAGUGGGUUUAUGCGUGCAACUGCAAGCAAAAUGGCGAAAUAGAUGCACCCGGACACACACACACGCGCGCAGUGAGGGAAAAUUUGUACAGGGACAGUGCUGACUAAUUUUAAACAGCACUACUUCUCAUCUAAUACCGAUUGAAAUGCAAACUUUUGUUCUAAAUGGCCAUCAAAAAUAUGCUUUUGGUGCAAUAUCUUAUUUUUAAAUAACCAUUUGACCAAACGAUUUUAUCUCCAACCAAUAAUAAAGCAUUCAAUAUUUUAAUUUA